GGCCGGCUAGCUCAGAUGGUUAGAGCGUGGUGCUAAUAACGCCAAGGCCGUGUGUUCGAUCCCCAUGCUGGCCA
Alligator sinensis (Chinese alligator) is the source of this 74-nucleotide non-coding RNA. The record is from the annotation of a RefSeq genome assembly. Lineage: Eukaryota; Metazoa; Chordata; Crocodylia; Alligatoridae.